GUGGGGAAUAUUGCACAAUGGGGGAAACCCUGAUGCAGCGACGCCGCGUGAGUGAAGAAGUAUUUCGGUACGUAAAGCUCUAUCAGCAGGGAAGAAAAUGACGGUACCUGACUAAGAAGCCCCGGCUAACUACGUGCCAGCAGCCGCGGUAAUACGUAGGGGGCAAGCGUUAUCCGGAUUUACUGGGUGUAAAGGGAGCGUAGACGGCAGCGCAAGUCUGGAGUGAAAUCCCAUGGCUUAACCAUGGAACUGCUUUGGAAACUGUGCAGCUGGAGUGCAGGAGAGGUAAGCGGAAUUCCUAGUGUAGCGGUGAAAUGCGUAGAUAUUAGGAGGAACACCAGUGGCGAAGGCGGCUUACUGGACUGUAACUGACGUUGAGGCUCGAAAGCGUGGGGAGCAAACAGGAUUAGAAACCCUAGUAGUCC
RNAcentral lists this ribosomal RNA (425 nucleotides) under uncultured bacterium. RNAcentral's name for it is "bacterial SSU rRNA". It matches the Rfam family "Bacterial small subunit ribosomal RNA", at positions 354 to 796 of the family's 1533-position model. The record is from RNAcentral.